Molecule: ribosomal RNA, 1344 nt
Filed under: Triticum aestivum (bread wheat)
Lineage: Eukaryota; Viridiplantae; Streptophyta; Magnoliopsida; Poales; Poaceae
Description: partial small subunit ribosomal RNA
Source: RNAcentral
AUGGCAGACAUUCACCAUUUGGAUAAAUUGCAUUCACUUAGGUUCGGGACUAGAUCCGAAGUUAGAAUUUCAUGGUUAAAUAAGCUUUCCAACAUCCUCUUUUUGACUCUAAAAGGCUGCGAGCUGAAAAACCUACCUGAGAGCAUUUGUGUCUUGAAUCAUCUUCGUCACCUUGAUAUAUCUCAUAGCAGAAUAAUUGAGCUACCUGAGUGUUUUCGGUGCCUAUACAGCCUACAAGUUCUCAAUGCUAGUCAUUCAAGACUGAAAACAAUUCCUGAUGGCAUAACAACGCUAGUCAACUUGCGUAAUCUAGCACUGCCAGGGAAUGCCUCACAUAAUUUGUCAACAAAAAGUGGUCUUGGAAAUUUGUGUUCUCUGCGGAACUUGAGCUAUUUUACGGUUGGAGAAGGUAAUGGGAGGAGAAUUAGUGAGUUGAAGAACAUGAAUCAGCUGAGAGAAAUGCUAUCUAUUAAAUCUUUUGCUAACGUUCAGACUAUGGAAGAAACUGCCGAGGCUAGAAUUGUUGACAAGCAAUACCUUAAGGUAUUAAUUAUACAUUGGCGACAAUGUAGAUUCUUCCUGAAGGAACAUGAACAUGACAAUAGCAAUACACUCGAAGGCUUGCAUCCUCAUUCAAGAAUUGAACGUCUUGUACUUGAAGGCUUUCGGUUUGAUAACUUAGCUCCAAGUUGGUUAACUCCUGAAAACCUACCUUCAUUAAGAAAUCUAGAUCUUUCCCAUUGCAGCUUGAAAUAUUUAUCAAUGCCACUUUGUUUUCCCAUCACUACUCUGCGCCUUUCCUGGUGUUGUGGUCUGAGAAAUCUUGAUCAGUGCCUGGACCCAGAACAUUUGCCAUUUGUCCAGUCAAUAGAGCUUGAUUGGUGUCCAAAUCUAGUAUCGGUCCCUGUGCACAGUUUUGUGGGUUUUGUUUUCCUUCAAGAUCUGAGAAUCCACCAGUGCUUCAAGUUGGCGUGCCCUAGGGAAAUGGUUUUGCCCCCUGCACUCAGAAGACUUUCUGUUUCCUUUUGCGGUGAGCUUGGCAAUUCAUUUCCAGAUUGCUUGGAGAAUCUCAACUUUCUCACCCUUCUGCAUUUGGAAGCGUGUCUCACUAUAAGGCUCAUUCGAUUGAACUCGAUCAACACAAACAUGCUAAGUUGUCUGGUUCUUCGUCAUUGCUCGGAACUGUCAUCCAUCGAAGGAUCUAGCGCUCUUCUAUACAUGAAGUAUGUUGACAUAUUGAGCUGCCCUAAGCUCACAGGGAUAAGCCAACCAUUCAAAAGGAAUAAACUGGAGAAAGUAGAGGAGACAGAACUGCUAGAAUUUAUCAAACCACGCAAGGAAUGA